AACAAGCAAACUGUUUCACAGUGCCA
RNAcentral lists this non-coding RNA (26 nucleotides) under Rattus norvegicus (Norway rat). The record is from RNAcentral. Lineage: Eukaryota; Metazoa; Chordata; Mammalia; Rodentia; Muridae.